UCAUCUCAGUGUUCAUGCUCUCUGAUGGGGUUUCUGAGCGCACUCUGUUGGAUUUCCUCUUUCCAGCAGCAGAUUUCAUGUGAAUAGAACAAAACACAAUGGGAAAUGUUUUCUUCAGCAUCAAUGAAUCACCUCACAGUAUUCAUAUUACUUCAAAUACAACAUCAGAGUUCCUCCUCUGAUGUUCAGAGACAAAGACAAGCAUUGAAACGAUAUUUAAAGUUCAGCUCUGAUGGCGAAACUCACAAAAACUGUAGUACCACUAAUCAGGAGAUCUAGAAGGAGUCAUAGUUCCACUAAUCAGGAGGUCUAGAAGGAGUCAUAGUACCACUAAUCAGGAGAUCUAGAAGGAGUCAUAGUUCCACUAAUCAGGAGGUCUAGAAGGAGUCACAGUACCACUAAUCAGGAGGUCUAGAAGGAGUCAUAGUUCCACUAAUCAGGAGGUCUAGAAGGAGUCAUAGUUCCACUAAUCAGGAGGUCUAGAAGGAGUCAUAGUUCCACUAAUCAGGAGGUCUAGAAGGAGUCAUAGUUCCACUAAUCAGGAGGUCUAGAAGGAGUCAUAGUACCACUAAUCAGGAGGUCUAGAAGGAGUCACAGUACCACUAAUCAGGAGGUCUAGAAGGAGUCAUAGUUCCACUAAUCAGGAGGUCUAGAAGGAGUCAUAGUUCCACUAAUCAGGAGGUCUAGAAGGAGUCAUAGUUCCACUAAUCAGGAGGUCUAGAAGGAGUCAUAGUACCACUAAUCAGGAGGUCUAGAAGGAGUCAUAGUUCCACUAAUCAGGAGGUCUAGAAGGAGUCAUAGUUCCACUAAUCAGGAGGUCUAGAAGGAGUCAUAGUACCACUAAUCAGGAGGUCUAGAAGGAGUCAUAGUUCCACUAAUCAGGAGGUCUAGAAGGAGUCAUAGUUCCACUAAUCAGAGCUCCUAAAAUGACUCCACAGACAGUGAACUACUUUCUCCAUCCAGCUGUAAAAACAGACAUCAGCGGCUUCAGACUUGGUUCAGGGGUUCUUCAUGGAAACCAGAGUUAGUGUGAAGCUCAGACAGUGUGAAGGAGCCUUCAGAACAUCAACCUCUAUGGACGGAGGUGUCACAACCCCCUCCUGCUCCUGAGUGCUGGCUCAUUAA
Long non-coding RNA from Acanthochromis polyacanthus (spiny chromis), 1125 nucleotides. RefSeq lists it as uncharacterized. The transcript has 3 exons. Lineage: Eukaryota; Metazoa; Chordata; Actinopteri; Pomacentridae. The record is from RefSeq and is a predicted model, not a curated record.